RNAcentral lists this ribosomal RNA (2643 nucleotides) under Escherichia coli. RNAcentral's name for it is "partial 23S ribosomal RNA". It matches the Rfam family "Bacterial large subunit ribosomal RNA". Lineage: Bacteria; Pseudomonadati; Pseudomonadota; Gammaproteobacteria; Enterobacterales; Enterobacteriaceae. The record is from RNAcentral.
GGGUUGUGAGGUUAAGCGACUAAGCGUACACGGUGGAUGCCCUGGCAGUCAGAGGCGAUGAAGGACGUGCUAAUCUGCGAUAAGCGUCGGUAAGGUGAUAUGAACCGUUAUAACCGGCGAUUUCCGAAUGGGGAAACCCAGUGUGUUUCGACACACUAUCAUUAACUGAAUCCAUAGGUUAAUGAGGCGAACCGGGGGAACUGAAACAUCUAAGUACCCCGAGGAAAAGAAAUCAACCGAGAUUCCCCCAGUAGCGGCGAGCGAACGGGGAGCAGCCCAGAGCCUGAAUCAGUGUGUGUGUUAGUGGAAGCGUCUGGAAAGGCGCGCGAUACAGGGUGACAGCCCCGUACACAAAAAUGCACAUGCUGUGAGCUCGAUGAGUAGGGCGGGACACGUGGUAUCCUGUCUGAAUAUGGGGGGACCAUCCUCCAAGGCUAAAUACUCCUGACUGACCGAUAGUGAACCAGUACCGUGAGGGAAAGGCGAAAAGAACCCCGGCGAGGGGAGUGAAAAAGAACCUGAAACCGUGUACGUACAAGCAGUGGGAGCACGCUUAGGCGUGUGACUGCGUACCUUUUGUAUAAUGGGUCAGCGACUUAUAUUCUGUAGCAAGGUUAACCGAAUAGGGGAGCCGAAGGGAAACCGAGUCUUAACUGGGCGUUAAGUUGCAGGGUAUAGACCCGAAACCCGGUGAUCUAGCCAUGGGCAGGUUGAAGGUUGGGUAACACUAACUGGAGGACCGAACCGACUAAUGUUGAAAAAUUAGCGGAUGACUUGUGGCUGGGGGUGAAAGGCCAAUCAAACCGGGAGAUAGCUGGUUCUCCCCGAAAGCUAUUUAGGUAGCGCCUCGUGAAUUCAUCUCCGGGGGUAGAGCACUGUUUCGGCAAGGGGGUCAUCCCGACUUACCAACCCGAUGCAAACUGCGAAUACCGGAGAAUGUUAUCACGGGAGACACACGGCGGGUGCUAACGUCCGUCGUGAAGAGGGAAACAACCCAGACCGCCAGCUAAGGUCCCAAAGUCAUGGUUAAGUGGGAAACGAUGUGGGAAGGCCCAGACAGCCAGGAUGUUGGCUUAGAAGCAGCCAUCAUUUAAAGAAAGCGUAAUAGCUCACUGGUCGAGUCGGCCUGCGCGGAAGAUGUAACGGGGCUAAACCAUGCACCGAAGCUGCGGCAGCGACACUAUGUGUUGUUGGGUAGGGGAGCGUUCUGUAAGCCUGUGAAGGUGUACUGUGAGGUAUGCUGGAGGUAUCAGAAGUGCGAAUGCUGACAUAAGUAACGAUAAAGCGGGUGAAAAGCCCGCUCGCCGGAAGACCAAGGGUUCCUGUCCAACGUUAAUCGGGGCAGGGUGAGUCGACCCCUAAGGCGAGGCCGAAAGGCGUAGUCGAUGGGAAACAGGUUAAUAUUCCUGUACUUGGUGUUACUGCGAAGGGGGGACGGAGAAGGCUAUGUUGGCCGGGCGACGGUUGUCCCGGUUUAAGCGUGUAGGCUGGUUUUCCAGGCAAAUCCGGAAAAUCAAGGCUGAGGCGUGAUGACGAGGCACUACGGUGCUGAAGCAACAAAUGCCCUGCUUCCAGGAAAAGCCUCUAAGCAUCAGGUAACAUCAAAUCGUACCCCAAACCGACACAGGUGGUCAGGUAGAGAAUACCAAGGCGCUUGAGAGAACUCGGGUGAAGGAACUAGGCAAAAUGGUGCCGUAACUUCGGGAGAAGGCACGCUGAUAUGUAGGUGAAGUCCCUCGCGGAUGGAGCUGAAAUCAGUCGAAGAUACCAGCUGGCUGCAACUGUUUAUUAAAAACACAGCACUGUGCAAACACGAAAGUGGACGUAUACGGUGUGACGCCUGCCCGGUGCCGGAAGGUUAAUUGAUGGGGUCAGCGCAAGCGAAGCUCUUGAUCGAAGCCCCGGUAAACGGCGGCCGUAACUAUAACGGUCCUAAGGUAGCGAAAUUCCUUGUCGGGUAAGUUCCGACCUGCACGAAUGGCGUAAUGAUGGCCAGGCUGUCUCCACCCGAGACUCAGUGAAAUUGAACUCGCUGUGAAGAUGCAGUGUACCCGCGGCAAGACGGAAAGACCCCGUGAACCUUUACUAUAGCUUGACACUGAACAUUGAGCCUUGAUGUGUAGGAUAGGUGGGAGGCUUUGAAGUGUGGACGCCAGUCUGCAUGGAGCCGACCUUGAAAUACCACCCUUUAAUGUUUGAUGUUCUAACGUGGACCCGUAAUCCGGGUUGCGGACAGUGUCUGGUGGGUAGUUUGACUGGGGCGGUCUCCUCCUAAAGAGUAACGGAGGAGCACGAAGGUUGGCUAAUCCUGGUCGGACAUCAGGAGGUUAGUGCAAUGGCAUAAGCCAGCUUGACUGCGAGCGUGACGGCGCGAGCAGGUGCGAAAGCAGGUCAUAGUGAUCCGGUGGUUCUGAAUGGAAGGGCCAUCGCUCAACGGAUAAAAGGUACUCCGGGGAUAACAGGCUGAUACCGCCCAAGAGUUCAUAUCGACGGCGGUGUUUGGCACCUCGAUGUCGGCUCAUCACAUCCUGGGGCUGAAGUAGGUCCCAAGGGUAUGGCUGUUCGCCAUUUAAAGUGGUACGCGAGCUGGGUUUAGAACGUCGUGAGACAGUUCGGUCCCUAUCUGCCGUGGGCGCUGGAGAA